RNAcentral lists this non-coding RNA (21 nucleotides) under Rattus norvegicus (Norway rat). Lineage: Eukaryota; Metazoa; Chordata; Mammalia; Rodentia; Muridae. The record is from RNAcentral.
UGCUUCAUGUCAGCCUGAGGA